CGGGACGGGUGAGUAAUGUCUGGGAAACGUGCCUGAUGGAGGGGGGUAACUACUGGAAACGGUAGCUAAUACCGCAUAACGUCGCAAGACCAAAGAGGGGACCUUCGGGCCUCUUGCCAUCGGAUGUGCCCAGAUGGGAUUAGCUAGUAGGUGGGGUAACGGCUCACCUAGGCGACGAUCCCUAGCUGGUCUGAGAGGAUGGCCAGCCACACUGGAACUGAGACACGGUCCAG
RNAcentral lists this ribosomal RNA (233 nucleotides) under uncultured bacterium. RNAcentral describes it as "partial 16S ribosomal RNA". It matches the Rfam family "Bacterial small subunit ribosomal RNA", at positions 100 to 334 of the family's 1533-position model. The record is from RNAcentral.